Molecule: non-coding RNA, 25 nt
Filed under: Rattus norvegicus (Norway rat)
Lineage: Eukaryota; Metazoa; Chordata; Mammalia; Rodentia; Muridae
Source: RNAcentral
UGGGUACUCGGAAAAAUGUGGAUUU